GAUGAACGCUGGCGGCGUGCCUAAUACAUGCAAGUCGAGCGAACGGACGAGAAGCUUGCUUCUUUGAUGUUAGCGGCGGACGGGUGAGUAACACGUGGAUAACCUACCUAUAAGACUGGGAUAACUUCGGGAAACCGGAGCUAAUACCGGAUGAUAUUUUGAACCGCAUGGUUCAAAAGUGAAAGACGGUCUUGCUGUCACUUAUAGAUGGAUCCGCGCUGCAUUAGCUAGUUGGUAAGGUAACGGCUUACCAAGGCAACGAUGCAUAGCCGACCUGAGAGGGUGAUCGGCCACACUGGAACUGAGACACGGUCCAGACUCCUACGGGAGGCAGCAGUAGGGAAUCUUCCGCAAUGGGCGAAAGCCUGACGGAGCAACGCCGCGUGAGUGAUGAAGGUCUUCGGAUCGUAAAACUCUGUUAUUAGGGAAGAACAUAUGUGUAAGUAACUGUGCACAUCUUGACGGUACCUAAUCAGAAAGCCACGGCUAACUACGUG
This 497-nucleotide ribosomal RNA is filed under the name uncultured bacterium. RNAcentral describes it as "partial 16S ribosomal RNA". It matches the Rfam family "Bacterial small subunit ribosomal RNA", at positions 28 to 507 of the family's 1533-position model. The record is from RNAcentral.